RNAcentral lists this ribosomal RNA (497 nucleotides) under uncultured bacterium. RNAcentral describes it as "partial 16S ribosomal RNA". It matches the Rfam family "Bacterial small subunit ribosomal RNA", at positions 28 to 507 of the family's 1533-position model. The record is from RNAcentral.
GACGAACGCUGGCGGCGUGCCUAAUACAUGCAAGUUGAGCGCUAAAGGCUGGUUUUUGUACUAACUGGCUGAUCAUCGAACGGGUGAGUAAUGCGUGGUGCAUCUGCCUUUGAGCGCGGGACAACAUUUGGAAACGAAUGCUAAUACCUCAUAACAACUUUAAACACAAGUUUUAAGUUUUAAAGAUGCAAUUGCUUCACUCAAAUAUGAUUCCGCGUUGUAUUAGCUAGUUGGUGAGGUAAAGGCUCACCAAGGCGAUGAUACAUAGCCGACCUGCGAGGGUGGAGGGCCAAAUUGGGAAUGGGACAUGGCCCAAGGUCCAGAGGGAGGCAGGAGUAAGGAGUCGUGAGCAAUGGACGAAAGUCGGAACGAGGAAGGACGCGUGAGGGAAGAAGGUUUUCGGAUUGUAAAAUGCUGUUGGUAGAGAAGAACGAGGGAGAGAGUGGAAAGGUAAGGAAGUGACGGUAACUACAGAGAAAGCGACGGCUAACUACGUG